Molecule: ribosomal RNA, 242 nt
Filed under: uncultured bacterium
Lineage: Bacteria
Description: partial 16S ribosomal RNA
Rfam family: Bacterial small subunit ribosomal RNA
Source: RNAcentral
UGGGCGGCGGACGGGUGAGUAACGCGUGGGUAACCUACCUCAUACAGGGGGAUAACAGUUGGAAACGGCUGCUAAUACCGCAUAAGCGCACAGUACCGCAUGGUACCGUGUGAAAAACUCCGGUGGUAUGAGAUGGACCCGCGUCUGAUUAGCUAGUUGGUGGGGUAACGGCCUACCAAGGCGACGAUCAGUAGCCGACCUGAGAGGGUGACCGGCCACAUUGGGACUGAGACACGGCCCAG